GGCUCAGAACGAACGCUGGCGGCGCGUCUUAAGCAUGCAAGUCGAACGGCAAGAGGUAGCAAUACCUCCUAGAGUGGCGGACUGGUGAGUAACACGUGGGUGACAUACCCUUCAGAUGGGGAUAGCUAUUAGAAAUAGUAGAUAAUACCGAAUACGAGCACAGGGGUUAGAGAUCUGUGAGGAAAGGAGCUAAGGCUCCGCUGAAGGAAUGGCCUGCGGCCCAUUAGCUAGUUGGUGAGGUAAGAGCCCACCAAGGCGAUGAUGGGUAUCCGGCCUUAGAGGGUGAACGGACACAUUGGGACUGAGAUACGGCCCAGACUCCUACGGGAGGCAGCAGCUAAGAAUAUUCCGCAAUGGACGAAAGUCUGACGGAGCGACGCCGCGUGGAUGAAGAAGGCCGGAAGGUUGUAAAAUCCUUUUGAAACUGAAGAAUAAGCGUUGUAGGGAAUGACAGCGUGGUGACAGUAGGUUUUGAAUAAGCAACGGCUAAUUACGUGCCAGCCGCCGC
RNAcentral lists this ribosomal RNA (508 nucleotides) under uncultured bacterium. Its description in RNAcentral is "bacterial SSU rRNA". It matches the Rfam family "Bacterial small subunit ribosomal RNA", at positions 21 to 518 of the family's 1533-position model. The record is from RNAcentral.